UCUUUUUACAACUAACUUUGAAGCUUAUUUUUGGCCAAGUCACUGGAUGUAUCAGUAGGCUAAUGAAUUGUAAUGGUCUAAUUUGGUAACCGUUUAAUUAGUGGUUGUAGAUUAGAAUAUCUAUUUUUGAUAGUUUAGAGAUUGUGACAGUGGCAACACAGUUUUGAAGAUGAAGGACCGACUGGAACAGUUGAAGGCGAAAAUGUGAUGUGGCUGGGGACGAUGUGGAGGUUCCAGUGGAGAACCAAGCCUUUAUGGAUGACUUCUUCGCCCAGAAUGAAGAAAGGAUUUACCCUGGGGAAUCAGUAACAAAGGGGCAAUGCCUUAUGGCAAUAAUGCUCUUUUUUCUGCGUCAUCACCUGACUGGAACUGCCCUGAUAGACCUACUUGCCUUGCUGAAUUUGCUUGUCUCCAACAUCUAAAUAUCUAUUCAAAAAGUUUUUGGGUAAUCCAGCCCUGACAGCUGUCUCUCGUUUAUUUUGUGAUGAAUGCCAAAAUUACUUAGGAAAGCAACCCGAAGACACAAAUUGCUCACAUUGUGGAAUGUUCUUCAUCAGAGAAACGAAAUGUUUUAAUUUUGUCAAUACCUUUGAGGCUCCUUCUGCGAGAUACACUGGAGAACCAUAGAAUAGAUGUUUUGAGGAAAACGGUGAAGGAAGAAGAAUAUGAAAUCGAGGAUGUCAUGGAUGGAAAGAUGUACCAAACAUUACUGAAAGAGAAGAGGCUAUCUGCAUGAACCUGGAACUGUGAUGGAGUACCCAUUUUUAACUCUUCAAAUUACUCAGUUUGGCCCCUUCCAAUUUACCAUAAAUGAACUGCCUCACAUACAUUGGAAAGAAAAUGUGAUGGUUGCAGAAUGGAUACCUUUUUAUUGAUUAAUGUUGCGAUUUAAUCCCAUAACUUUGGAGAGAGAACAGUGGGAUUCUGAAGAGGACAAAGGUCUUCUCCUUGAUUUGUUCCUCAGAUGCAAUUGCCAGGCCAAUCCUUCAUUACUGUAAGCAAUUCAAUGGUGAAUAUGGUUGUGACUGGUGCUUGCACCCCAGUAAAGUUGUCCCCAAAGGCAGAUAUGUAAGAUCCUUACAGUCAACAACUCCAAAUUGAAAGAUCACACAAUCAAUUUAAGUGAUAAUGCAUUUCACGCUGCUCGCACUGACAUUCCGCAAAAUGGUGCAAAGGGGUUGUCAACACUGUUUAUGCUUCUGUUGUCCAACCGAAGAGACAGAAG
This 1225-nucleotide long non-coding RNA is filed under the name Oncorhynchus mykiss (rainbow trout). Its description in RNAcentral is "lncRNA (ENSOMYG00000052754.1)". The record is from RNAcentral. Lineage: Eukaryota; Metazoa; Chordata; Actinopteri; Salmoniformes; Salmonidae.